RNAcentral lists this ribosomal RNA (253 nucleotides) under uncultured bacterium. RNAcentral describes it as "partial 16S ribosomal RNA". It matches the Rfam family "Bacterial small subunit ribosomal RNA", at positions 524 to 776 of the family's 1533-position model. The record is from RNAcentral.
UACGAAGGGGGCUAGCGUUGCUCGGAAUUACUGGGUGUAAAGGGAGCGUAGGCGGGUUAUCAAGUUGGGGGUGAAAGCCCGGGGCUCAACCUCGGAAUUGCCUUCAAAACUGAUAACCUGGAGUAUGGAAGAGGUAAGUGGAACUCCGAGUGUAGAGGUGAAAUUCGUAGAUAUUCGGAAGAACACCAGUGGCGAAGGCGACUUACUGGUCCAUUACUGACGCUGAGGCUCGAAAGCGUGGGGAGCAAACAGG